Molecule: ribosomal RNA, 464 nt
Filed under: uncultured Malikia sp.
Lineage: Bacteria; Pseudomonadati; Pseudomonadota; Betaproteobacteria; Burkholderiales; Comamonadaceae
Description: bacterial SSU rRNA
Rfam family: Bacterial small subunit ribosomal RNA
Source: RNAcentral
ACGGGGCCCGCACAAGCAGCGGAGCAUGUGGCUUAAUUCGACGCAACGCGAAGAACCUUUACCACCUUUGACAUGGCAGGAAGGCUUCAGAGAUGAGGCUGUGCUCGAAAGAGAACCUGCACACAGGUGCUGCAUGGCUGUCGUCAGCUCGUGUCGUGAGAUGUUGGGUUAAGUCCCGCAACGAGCGCAACCCUUGCCAUUAGUUGCUACGAAAGGGCACUCUAAUGGGACUGCCGGUGACAAACCGGAGGAAGGUGGGGAUGACGUCAAGUCCUCAUGGCCCUUAUAGGUGGGGCUACACACGUCAUACAAUGGCCGGUACAAAGGGCUGCAAACCCGCGAGGGGGAGCCAAUCCAUCAAAGCCGGUCGUAGUCCGGAUCGCAGUCUGCAACUCGACUGCGUGAAGUCGGAAUCGCUAGUAAUCGUGGAUCAGCAUGUCACGGUGAAUACGUUCCCGGGUCUU